RNAcentral lists this ribosomal RNA (445 nucleotides) under uncultured bacterium. RNAcentral's name for it is "partial 16S ribosomal RNA". It matches the Rfam family "Bacterial small subunit ribosomal RNA", at positions 29 to 507 of the family's 1533-position model. The record is from RNAcentral.
AACGAACGCUGGCGGCAGGCUUAACACAUGCAAGUCGAACGAGCUGGGGGCUUCGGUUCCCGCUGCUAGUGGCGCACGGGCGAGUAACACGUGGGUAUAUGCCCUUUAGUACGGAAUAACCAAGGGACACAUUGGCUAAUACCGUAUUCGCCCUUCGGGGGAAAGAUUUAUCGCUAAAGGAUUAGCCCGCGUCUGCUUAGGUAGUUGGUGAGGUCAUGGGUCACCAAUCGGACGAUAAGUAGCUGGUCUGAGAGGAUGAGCCGCCACACCGGGAGUGAGACGCGGCGCAGACUACUACGGGAGGCAGCAGUGGGUAAUAUUGGACAAUGGGGGCAACCCUGAACGAGCCAGGCCGCGUGAGUGAAGAAGGCCUGCGGGAUGUAAAGCUCGUUCGACGGGGACGGUGAUGACGGUACCCAAAGAAGAAGCCCCGGCAAACUUCGUG